UGGGGGAUAUUGCACAAUGGAGGAAACUCUGAUGCAGCGACGCCGCGUGAGUGAAGAAGUAUUUCGGUAUGUAAAGCUCUAUCAGCAGGGAAGAUAAUGACAGUACCUGACUAAGAAGCCCCGGCUAACUACGUGCCAGCAGCCGCGGUAAUACGUAGGGGGCAAGCGUUAUCCGGAUUUACUGGGUGUAAAGGGAGCGUAGACGGAACGGCAAGUUUGAAGUGAAAUACCCGGGCUUAACCCGGGAACUGCUUUCUAAACUGAUAGACCAGAGUAUUGCAGGGGGAGACGGAAUUCCAGGUGUAGCGGUGGAAUGCGUAGAUAUCUGGAAGAACACCAAAGGCGAAGGCAGUCUCCUGGGCAAAUACUGACGCUCAUAUGCGAAAGCGUGGGUAGCAAACAGGAUUAGAUACCCUGGUAGU
RNAcentral lists this ribosomal RNA (422 nucleotides) under uncultured Oribacterium sp. RNAcentral describes it as "bacterial SSU rRNA". It matches the Rfam family "Bacterial small subunit ribosomal RNA", at positions 355 to 794 of the family's 1533-position model. Lineage: Bacteria; Bacillati; Bacillota; Clostridia; Lachnospirales; Lachnospiraceae. The record is from RNAcentral.